Molecule: long non-coding RNA, 996 nt
Organism: Pangasianodon hypophthalmus (striped catfish)
Lineage: Eukaryota; Metazoa; Chordata; Actinopteri; Siluriformes; Pangasiidae
Exons: 2
Source: RefSeq, a predicted model, not a curated record
CCUUCUUCUGCCUUGUGAUAGUUUGCCACAGGACAAUUCAGAAGCAACAGUGCAACCAGAGACAAUGACAGUGACCAAGACAAAGGCAAGGAGAAAAGACAGAAAAUGCUUGGAAAAAGUUCAGAGUGAUGUGUCAGAGAGUGAGGAUUUUCAAAAUGGUGAGCUGGUGUUACAGUUCCCUACCUCUUUGAGUCAGUGCUGGAAUCCUGCUCGUCUCAAUCCUGAAGCAGAACCUUUCACGCCGAGUGUGGAGCAGUGCUUGGAACAACAGCCACCGAGGAUUGAGGAGGAGAUAACAGAAGGGGCCCUAGAGGAGUCCCAGGAGGAGGAUCCUGGGAUGCCUGCAUGACAGUCAGAGGUAUCAGGAGAGCAAGCAUCAGUUGAAAGUGAGGAUGACGACUCUAUACCUGUGAAUUCUUAUCCAAGGAGAGAACACUGCCGAACAAAGAUUCUGACUUUUGAAUCGUUGGGUCAGCCAUCUGUGGUGGAAGUUGUGAUGGAUAGACUAAAUGUGAGUACAGAGACUUCAGUCCAAAGACUGUGGUGACCGUGGACAUUUUUGGAGCAAGCGGUGUUGGACCAAGGCCAGGAAGAAAGUCAAGGACCUCAGCCAUCUGAACAAUGGACUCUUCUCUCUGUUGCAGUCAGGGAAGUGCUUCCGCUCCCUGAAGGCCAACACAGAGAGAAUGAGGAGGAGCUUCUUCCCACUGGCCAUUUGGGCCCUCAACCAGUCUGAUAUUGCACAUCAUAUAUUACACAAACAACUGUACAUAUCUGCACCUUAUUCAAAACACAGUCAUGUUGUUUCUUCCACUGUAUCUCAUAUCAGAUUUUUAUAUUUUUCCUUUCCUACAUGUAUAAAAGAAAAUUCCAGUUUAUAUAAAUUUUAUUCUUAUGUCACAGACAGUAAAAAAUAGCAUUUCAUUGUGUAUCAUACUGUGUAUGGUUGUGUAUGUGACCAAUAAAAUUUGAAUUUGAAUUUGAAGCCCUGAACAA